CCUGCAGAUGGUCUCCCAUCCAUUCCACACAUCACUCAGUCACAGUGAUGUCACAAAGUCAUCCUUCUGCUCAAGCACCUGUGCUUGUUACUCCAUCCCAAUGGACAGGCUAGAAGCAUCUCUCACUUUGGGUUCAAAAAGCAGCAGGUCUGCGGCUGCUCUCCUAGAGAUGAGAUUGCUCUGGGACUCCUGCAUUAGACAAAGUUAACAGCGCGUGGCAGCAGCAAGAUUGAAGUUCUGAAUCAAUUUCCUUCAUGUCAACUUGGUCAGUUAUUUCAAGUAAAGCUUGCAAUUACUAAAUAAAGCAUCAAAAAGCAAUGAAAUGAA
This is a non-coding RNA of Meleagris gallopavo (turkey), 327 nucleotides long. The record is from RefSeq and is a predicted model, not a curated record. NCBI's taxonomy places the organism in Eukaryota, Metazoa, Chordata, Aves, Galliformes, Phasianidae.